AUGUAUAUGUGUUUACAUUUUUUUUUUUUUUUUUUUACACAGGUGCUGGUUGUCUGGGACAUGGAUUUAAAUAAAGCCAGAAAUUAUCGAAUCUUUGAGGAGGAGCAGCGGUUGUAUCUGGAGGCAGAUCUGACUUUCCCGUCUUUAUCUGUCCUGGUUGAACACUAUCACAUCAACCCACUGCCCAGCAGUAACAACUCAAUGCCCAACUAUUCCCUCUGUUUACAUACACCCUUCGGCUACGUCCCACCCAGGUGACAUCGAGCCCCUGUCCCGUGCUGAAACACCCCAACACCUGGUGCUGGUGCUGGGCCUGACAGCGCCACCUGCUGGUGAACACCUCCAUCACACCUGAGCACUGGGAAUAUCAAUGAAUAAUAAAUCAGUGCUAAUGAACUGCUCAUUUAAGUCCAGUGUUCAGAAGGGAGUCUUAAUAUCACAAUGACAAAUAUCCAGUGAACUGAACAGUAUUGAACUGCAGGUCUAAAGUACACAUGCUAUACUGAAUGUUAAUAUAUUGUAGCUUGACUGAUUGACAUGUCAUGUGAUUAAUCGCUGUUUGUUUUGUUUAUUGGUGUGUUUAUCUGCGAUAUCUAGUUCAACUGCUGUUAAGUGUUUUGAUUUGACGCCACUAACCUUGAAACUAUAGCAAACCCAGAGAUUAUUUGAUGCUAAAAGAUGCUCGCUGUGUGGAACAUGGCCGGCUCAUAUUUCAAUCCAAAAUUAAAAGAUAACAAUUAGAAAUUGUUCAUGGCUAAAGGAAAAUUGUGUUUAUUUUUAGGACCAUUAGGAUUUGUGUUACUGUCUCCCUAUUGCAUCAUGACAAAAUUAUGUAAUGCAUUAUUGUAAUAUUAUUUAAAUAUCAUUUAAAUAGGGAAAUAUUGGGUAUAAUUUUGCUGUCUUUUAUUCAAGCUGAUUGUGAAAAUAAAUAGUAAAAUAGUAAUAAUAAUAAACAAUAAUAAAAAGCAAUAAAAGAACAAUACUGGUAUUAGGAAAACCCAUUAAAAUUAUUAUAGAUUUUUAUUUUAUUUAUUUUUUUGUAAGAAUUCAAUAACAAAUCUACAAAUACACUUAAUUUUUAUUCAACAUAUUUUUGGGUUGAUUUGUAUGUUCAGCCAGCUGUAUGAAAGUUUGUUGUUAAAUAUUUAUGUCCCAAUAUUCAUGUUUGUGAUGUCAUCAUCGUUAUUAUCAAGUGCUGCACAUGACGGAUCUGAACCACAUGUCAUUGUAAAAAGCCUGAAUGUUAUUGUAAUAUUUCAGUUAUAUGUAUUAUUUUAUUGUACAGAUUUUGUAUCAUAGUGUACAUUAUGUAAGUCAUUUAAUAACUGGAUAUUAUGAUGUUUGUACACUUUACACUGUUGUGAGGUGAAUUAUACACACUUUUAAACUAAAUACACAUUUAAAAAAUAAAUCAAAUAAUUAAGAAUUGGAAAAGACUUGCUUAUUUACAUAUGCAAAUGAAUAAGAAUAGUGACAAUACAAGAAUUCUUCUUGACUUUUUCAUACAUAAUAAAAUAAUUCCACCUCAAAUCAAUGUUUCAUAUACAUGGGAAGUACAUUUAUAAAUGAUGCUAAAAUUGAAUGCUUUCAGAAACUACAUUUUUAAUUGUGUUUGUAUUGUUUCUGUGGUCGAUAUAACUCUUGAAAAUGAAGACAAAACUCCAGAUGGCUUCAUAUUCUGCUAACCUGAUAUAUAAUUUAUGACAAACCAAACUUAGCAAUGCAUUAAUGGCUUCACAAAAGCUUAUUUGACAAAUUACAUAAUUAAUGACUAGAGGAUUUCACUGUCUCAAGCCAGUAUGUUCCCUUUACUAUUUUAACUAUUUCUUUAGUAAGUCUAUACUGUAGCUACAAAUACAUAAAGCUAUUUUGAAGUCGACAUCUUCGAC
Long non-coding RNA from Carassius auratus (goldfish), 1889 nucleotides. NCBI's taxonomy places the organism in Eukaryota, Metazoa, Chordata, Actinopteri, Cypriniformes, Cyprinidae. The record is from Ensembl.